Molecule: transfer RNA, 65 nt
Filed under: Cosmoscarta bispecularis
Lineage: Eukaryota; Metazoa; Arthropoda; Insecta; Hemiptera; Cercopidae
Description: tRNA-Tyr
Source: RNAcentral
ACCAAAAUGGCUGACAAAAGUAAUAAACUGUAAAUUUAUUUAUGAAAUAAAAAUUUCUUUUGGUA